RNAcentral lists this ribosomal RNA (253 nucleotides) under uncultured bacterium. RNAcentral's name for it is "partial 16S ribosomal RNA". It matches the Rfam family "Bacterial small subunit ribosomal RNA", at positions 524 to 776 of the family's 1533-position model. The record is from RNAcentral.
UACGUAGGGUGCAAGCGUUGUCCGGAAUUAUUGGGCGUAAAGAGCUCGUAGGCGGUCUGUCACGUCGGCUGUGAAAUCCCGAGGCUCAACCUCGGGUCUGCAGUCGAUACGGGCAAACUAGAGUAUUGCAGGGGAGACUGGAAUUCCUGGUGUAGCGGUGAAAUGCGCAGAUAUCAGGAAGAACACCCGUGGCUAAGGCGGCUCUCUAGUACGGUACUGACGCUGAGACGCGAAAGCGUGGGGAGCGAACAGG